Molecule: ribosomal RNA, 253 nt
Filed under: uncultured bacterium
Lineage: Bacteria
Description: partial 16S ribosomal RNA
Rfam family: Bacterial small subunit ribosomal RNA
Source: RNAcentral
UACGAAGGGGGCUAGCGUUGCUCGGAAUCACUGGGCGUAAAGCGCACGUAGGCGGAUCUUUAAGUCAGGGGUGAAAUCCUGGAGCUCAACUCCAGAACUGCCUUUGAUACAGCACGUCUCGAGUCCGGAAGAGGUGGGUGGAAUUCCUAGUGUAGAGGUGAAAUUCGUAGAUAUUAGGAAGAACACCGGUGGCGAAGGCGGCCCACUGGUCCGGUACUGACGCUGAGGUGCGAAAGCGUGGGGAGCAAACAGG